UGAGGAAUAUUGCACAAUGGGCGAAAGCUUGAUGCAGCAACGCCGCGUGAGGGAUGAAGGCCUUCGGGUCGUAAACCUCUUUUCUGAGGGACGAGACCAGGACGGUACCUCGGGAAUAAGUCUCGGCUAACUACGUGCCAGCAGCCGCGGUAAAACGUAGGAGGCGAGCGUUAUCCGGAUUUACUGGGCGUAAAGCGCACGCAGGCGGCUUCGUUAGUCGGAUGUUAAAGCUCCUGGCUUAACUGGGAGAGGCCAUCCGAUACUGCGGGGCUUGAGGUUGGGAGAGGGGUGUGGAAUUCCCGGUGUAGUGGUGGAAUGCGUAGAUAUCGGGAGGAACACCUGUGGCGAAAGCGACACCCUGGCCCACACCUGACGCUGAUGUGCGAAAGCGUGGGUAGCA
RNAcentral lists this ribosomal RNA (400 nucleotides) under uncultured bacterium. RNAcentral's name for it is "bacterial SSU rRNA". It matches the Rfam family "Bacterial small subunit ribosomal RNA", at positions 355 to 770 of the family's 1533-position model. The record is from RNAcentral.